GACGAACGCUGGCGGCGUGCUUAACACAUGCAAGUCAAGCGGUAAGGCCCUUUCGGGGGUACACGAGCGGCGAACGGGUGAGUAACACGUGGGUGACCUGCCCUCAGCUCUGGGAUAAGCCUGGGAAACCGGGUCUAAUACCGGAUAUGACUCCAUGACGCAUGUUGUGGGGUGGAAAGCCUUGUGCGGCUGAGGAUGGGCCCGCGGCCUAUCAGCUUGUUGGUGGGGUGAUGGCCUACCAAGGCGACGACGGGUAGCCGGCCUGAGAGGGCGACCGGCCACACUGGGACUGAGACACGGCCCAGACUCCUACGGGAGGCAGCAGUGGGGAAUCUUGCGCAAUGGGCGAAAGCCUGACGCAGCGACGCCGCGUGAGGGAUGACGG
Molecule: ribosomal RNA, 385 nt
Filed under: uncultured bacterium
Lineage: Bacteria
Description: bacterial SSU rRNA
Rfam family: Bacterial small subunit ribosomal RNA
Source: RNAcentral